This 254-nucleotide ribosomal RNA is filed under the name uncultured bacterium. Its description in RNAcentral is "partial 16S ribosomal RNA". It matches the Rfam family "Archaeal small subunit ribosomal RNA", at positions 474 to 727 of the family's 1478-position model. The record is from RNAcentral.
UACCAGCACCCCGAGUGGUCGGGACGAUUAUUGGGGCCUAAAGCAUCCGUAGCCGGUCCUACAAGUCUUCCGUUAAAUCCACCUGCUUAACAGAUGGGCUGCGGAAGAUACUAUAGGGCUAGGAGGCGGGAGAGGCAAGCGGUACUCAGUGGGUAGGGGUAAAAUCCUCUGAUCCAUUGAAGACCACCAGUGGCGAAGGCGGCUUGCCAGAACGCGCUCGACGGUGAGGGAUGAAAGCUGGGGGAGCAAACCGG